RNAcentral lists this ribosomal RNA (482 nucleotides) under uncultured bacterium. RNAcentral's name for it is "partial 16S ribosomal RNA". It matches the Rfam family "Bacterial small subunit ribosomal RNA", at positions 28 to 507 of the family's 1533-position model. The record is from RNAcentral.
GACGAACGCUGGCGGCGUGCUUAACACAUGCAAGUCGAACGCUGAAGCUCAGCUUGCUGGGUGGAUGAGUGGCGAACGGGUGAGUAACACGUGAGUAACCUGCCCUCUUCUUUGGGAUAACGCCCGGAAACGGGUGCUAAUACUGGAUAUUCACUGAUUCUCGCAUGGGGGUUGGUGGAAAGGUUUUUUCUGGUGGGGGAUGGGCUCGCGGCCUAUCAGCUUGUUGGUGGGGUGAUGGCCUACCAAGGCUUUGACGGGUAGCCGGCCUGAGAGGGUGACCGGUCACAUUGGGACUGAGAUACGGACCAGACUCCUACGGGAGGCAGCAGUGGGGAAUAUUGCACAAUGGGCGAAAGCCUGAUGCAGCGACGCGGCGUGAGGGAUGGAGGCCUUCGGGUUGUAAACCUCUUUCGCUCAUGGUCAAGCCGCAGCUUUGGGUUGUGGUGAGGGUAGUGGGUAAAGAAGCGCCGGCUAACUACGUG